RNAcentral lists this ribosomal RNA (431 nucleotides) under uncultured Ruminococcus sp. RNAcentral's name for it is "bacterial SSU rRNA". It matches the Rfam family "Bacterial small subunit ribosomal RNA", at positions 958 to 1393 of the family's 1533-position model. Lineage: Bacteria; Bacillati; Bacillota; Clostridia; Eubacteriales; Oscillospiraceae. The record is from RNAcentral.
AACGCGAAGAACCUUACCAGGACUUGACAUCCAACUAACGAAGUAGAGAUACAUCAGGUGCCCUUCGGGGAAAGUCGAGACAGGUGGUGCAUGGUUGUCGUCAGCUCGUGUCGUGAGAUGUUGGGUUAAGUCCCGCAACGAGCGCAACCCUUGCUGUUAGUUGCUACGCAAGAGCACUCUAACAGGACUGCCGUUGACAAGACGGAGGAAGGUGGGGACGACGUCAAAUCAUCAUGCCCCUUAUGACCUGGGCUACACACGUACUACAAUGGCCGUCAACAGAGGGAAGCAAAGCCGCGAGGCAGAGCAAACCCCCAAAAACGGUCCCAGUUCGGACUGCAGGCUGCAACCCGCCUGCACGAAGUUGGAAUUGCUAGUAAUCGCAGAUCAGCAUGCUGCGGUGAAUACGUUCCCGGGUCUUGUACACACGC